AGAGUUUGAUCCUGGCUCAGAUUGAACGCUGGCGGCAGGCCUAACACAUGCAAGUCGAGCGGAUGAAGGGAGCUUGCUCCUGGAUUUAGCGGCGGACGGGUGAGGAAUACGCAGGAAUCUACCUAGUAGUGGGGGAUAACGUAGGGAAACUUACGCUAAUACCGCAUACGACCUACGGGUGAAAGCAGGGGACCUUCGGGCCUUGCGCUACUAGAUGAGCCUGCGUCGGAUUAGCUAGUUGGUGGGGUAAAGGCCUACCAAGGCGACGAUCCGUAGCUGGUCUUAGAGGAUGAUCAGCCACACUGGGACUGAGACACGGCCCAGACUCCUACGGGAGGCAGCAGUGGGGAAUAUUGGACAAUGGGCGAAAGCCUGAUCCAGCCAUGCCGCGUGUGUGAAGAAGGCCCUCGGGUUGUAAAGCACUUUAAGCGAGGAGGAAAGGUUGAAGGUUAAUACCCUUUAGCUGUGACGUUACUCGCAGAAUAAGCACCGGCAAACUUCGUGCCAGCAGCCGCGGUAAUACGAAGGGUGCGAGCGUUAAUCGGAAUUACUGGGCGUAAAGCGCGCGUAGGUGGUUAGGUAAGCGUACUGUGAAAUCCCCGGGCUCAACCUGGGAACUGCAGGACGAACUGCCUGACUAGAGUAUAGUAGAGGAGUGUGGAAUUCCCGGUGUAGCAGUGAAAUGCGUAGAUAUCGGGAGGAACAUCAGUGGCGAAGGCGGCACUCUGGACUGAUACUGACACUGAGGUGCGAAAGCGUGGGUAGCGAACAGGAUUAGAUACCCUGGUAGUCCACGCCGUAAACGAUGU
This 809-nucleotide ribosomal RNA is filed under the name uncultured bacterium. RNAcentral's name for it is "bacterial SSU rRNA". It matches the Rfam family "Bacterial small subunit ribosomal RNA", at positions 8 to 812 of the family's 1533-position model. The record is from RNAcentral.